RNAcentral lists this ribosomal RNA (169 nucleotides) under Pempheris nyctereutes. Its description in RNAcentral is "partial 12S rRNA". The record is from RNAcentral. Lineage: Eukaryota; Metazoa; Chordata; Actinopteri; Acropomatiformes; Pempheridae.
CACCGCGGUUAUACGAGGAGCCCAAGUUGAUAUACACCGGCGUAAAGCGUGGUUAGGAUGAACAUUAAAAUAAAGUCGAACGCCUUCCAAGCUGUUAUACGCAUAUGAAGGUAUGAAGCACACUCACGAAAGUAACUUUACACACUCUGAAUCCACGAAAACUAUGACA